RNAcentral lists this ribosomal RNA (253 nucleotides) under uncultured bacterium. RNAcentral's name for it is "partial 16S ribosomal RNA". It matches the Rfam family "Bacterial small subunit ribosomal RNA", at positions 524 to 776 of the family's 1533-position model. The record is from RNAcentral.
UACGUAGGGCGCAAGCGUUGUCCGGAAUUAUUGGGCGUAAAGAGCUCGUAGGUGGUUUGUCGCGUUGUUCGUGAAAACUCACAGCUCAACUGUGGGCGUGCGGGCGAUACGGGCAGACUGGAGUACUGCAGGGGAGACUGGAAUUCCUGGUGUAGCGGUGGAAUGCGUAGAUAUCUGGAAGAACACCGGUGGCGAAGGCGGUCAACUGGCCCUAAACUGACGCUCAGGCACGAAAGCGUGGGGAUCAAACAGG